ACUCCUACGGGAGGCAGCAGUAGGGAAUCUUCCGCAAUGGACGAAAGUCUGACGGAGCAACGCCGCGUGAGUGAAGAAGGUUUUCGGAUCGUAAAACUCUGUUGUCAGAGAAGAACAAGUUGGAGAGUAACUGCUCCAGCCUUGACGGUAUCUGACCAGAAAGCCACGGCUAACUACGUGCCAGCAGCCGCGGUAAUACGUAGGUGGCAAGCGUUGUCCGGAUUUAUUGGGCGUAAAGCGAGCGCAGGCGGUUCCUUAAGUCUGAUGUGAAAGCCCACGGCUCAACCGUGGAAGGUCAUUGGAAACUGGGGAACUUGAGUGCAGAAGAGGAGAGUGGAAUUCCAUGUGUAGCGGUGAAAUGCGUAGAUAUAUGGAGGAACACCAGUGGCGAAGGCGACUCUCUGGUCUGUAACUGACGCUGAGGCUCGAAAGCGUGGGGAGCAAACAGGAUUAGAUACCCUGGUAGUC
Molecule: ribosomal RNA, 468 nt
Filed under: uncultured bacterium
Lineage: Bacteria
Description: bacterial SSU rRNA
Rfam family: Bacterial small subunit ribosomal RNA
Source: RNAcentral